GCCCGAGUAGCUCAGGGGAUAGAGCAGCGGCCUUCUAAUCCGCUGGUCGGGGGUUCGAAUCCCUCCUCGGGCA
This 73-nucleotide transfer RNA is filed under the name Nesterenkonia sp. Its description in RNAcentral is "tRNA-Arg". It matches the Rfam family "tRNA". From Rfam's summary of the family: Transfer RNA (tRNA) molecules are approximately 80 nucleotides in length. Their secondary structure includes four short double-helical elements and three loops (D, anti-codon, and T loops). The record is from RNAcentral. RNAcentral also lists the same sequence under 1 other name. Lineage: Bacteria; Bacillati; Actinomycetota; Actinomycetes; Micrococcales; Micrococcaceae.